GAAUUUCAAGAAUUUCAAGAGUAAGAGGAUUAUUUCAAGAAUUUGCAGGACUAGGGAAAUAAUGACAAGAAUUCGCAGAAUUAGAGAAAGAGUACAAGAAUUCACAGAACUAGAGAAAGAAUUUCAAGAACUUGUGGAAUUGAGAGGAUAAUUUCAAGAAUUUGCAGAACUAGAGAAAGAAUUUCAGGAAUUCAAAGAACUAGCAAAAGAACGACUAUGGAAAGGAUUUCCUUGCCUAUCUUGUGGAAUGUUCAUGGGGAGUGGUUCUGGUUUGACGGGUUGGUUUCCUAUCUGUUUUGCUGCAAAUCAUAAGCAGAAAUAUGAGAUUUAUUCAAUGACGGAAAAUCUUGACAGUUGAUGCUGAUGUCUCUUUGGUAAAUGCGGAUGGAAUGUUAAUCAGUAGUCUGCUUAGGUGUUGAAUAUAUUGAUAUCGUUGGUCGGUAAGGUGCUCCCCUAGAUUUCUUUCUAGGCGAGUACUAUCUCCAUUUAUUUGACCUGCUGGUUAUCGUUUUUGGUUGUGUUGUUACUAUUAUUCUAAAUUUCGGUUCAAACUUUUCAACUUGUGGUUAGAAAUCACGGGAUCUCUCUGGGGCAAAUGAUAAGGGUAGUCAGUUUCUAAUCCAAUAGAUUUUUUGGUGAUUGCUAUUUUAUUCUUGUCUGCGGCGUUGGUUAGAAGGAUGCUACUAGGCAUUGGAGUCAAUUGUCUACUCAGUGAUAAAUGGUAUAAGUUAAUAUUGAGCGCUUUAUUUGCAUUUCAGCCUGUUUUAAAGGUGUGAACGAGAGGAAAGACAAUUUUCAGUAUCCCUUUUUUUAGUAUAGUUUUGGUUAUUAGUUCUAUUGCUUAUUUCUCUUUGGCAUUCAUGCAAGUACUCCUCAAUCCGUAUUGUGUAGUGGAUGAUUAAUUUGGUUUCUAGAUUUUUUGGAGGAAAUUUGGGGGAAGUUCCUUUGAUUCUUUGUUCUGAUCAGUGUCGUUAUAAGUUGUGUUGUUGAGGUGAUAAGAGGCUUAAGUUGAUAUGGAGCUGUUCUUUUGCACUUUGGAGCUCCUUUUUUGGUGUGCGUAUGUCUCUGAGCAAUUUGGAGAAGAUGUGAAUAAGGAUAAAGUAUGUUGUGGACAGGCUUCAGGUGACGGUCUCCAUGUUUUUCAUUCUUUUCGAUGUGAUUUUGGUUGUUGGUUCUGUUGCCUCUUGCUUCUUUACAUUUUAUAUGAGCUCUUAUGUUUGAAUGAUAAUUAGGCUUCUAGAUUCUGCAGUGGGUGCUUGAAGAAAAGUUGCAAUUUUUUAUUCUUUAUCUUGUAUUCUGAAUGGGAUUAUAUGUUGAUUAGUGGUUUUUAGUUGUUCAACCAGGUAUCUGGAUUUUUGGCGCUGUUUUUGGGUGUUAGGUAUGGAGGAAGAUGGCAAGAAAGGAUAAAACAAGGUGUGUCAUUGACGAUUGUGGGGACGGUUUCAGUCUGGAUUUUCUAAGUAUAGUUUUUAGUUCUAUUGCUUCUCGUUCAUGUAAGCCGUUUUGGUAUAUUAUGUAGAUUUGAAUGUUCUGCAGGGGAAUUUAGGUUUGAGGUGAUAGUCAUUGAUACGUUCUCUUCUCAUCUGAUUGGGAUUAUUAAUUUUUAUGUCUCUUGCUGAUGUAAUAAGAGUGGUCAGAGUUAAUAACAAGCUGUUUAUUUGCAUUUUGCGACUCUUUCUGGUUGUAUGGCAUGCCAGUGACGAAUUUAUGAGAAAUAGGCCGUGAAAAAGGGAAAACAAGAUAUGAAAUUUUCUUUGGUGUUGGAUGUAUCUUUUAGGAGCUUGGAGAUGUAGGAGUUCGGAAAGGGAAAAACAAGGUGUGCUGUGGACAAGAGGAAGUCAGUUGUCAGUCUCUGUGUUUUUCAUUAUUCCCAAUGUGAUUUUGGUUUUUAGUUCUAUUGGUUCUUGCUCUUUGCAUAUAUCACUUUAGCUCUUAUAUUUGGAUGAUAAUUAGGUUUCUUUAUUCUGCAAAGGAACUUGGAAAUAAUUUGCAAAUCUGAUUCUUUAUCUUGUAUUUUGCUUGGAAUUGUUUGUUGGUGAGUGGUAUGUAAGUGGUUUAACCUAUCGUCUGCAUUUUGGGGCUGUUAUUUGGGUGUAAGGUAUGGAGAAAGAGGAGAGGAAAGGACAAAACAAGGUGUGUCAUGGUGGAGACAGGUUUGAGUUAGCUUUUUUCAAAGUUUGGUUCUUAGUUCUGUUGCUUCUCAUUCAUGUGAGCCCUUCUGUUUUGUUAUGUACACCUGAAUGAUUAAUUUGGUUUCUAGAUUCUGCAGGGGAAUUUAGGUGUAAUGUGGUAGUCCUUGAUUCAUUCUCUUCUCUUCUAAUAAUAAUUGGUCUUGACUUAGGAACAAGCUAUUUAAUUGCAUUUUGGGGCUUUUUUCCUGGUUGCAAGGCAUCCUGUUAUCAAUUUCAGAGAUAGUCCAUGAGAAAGGGAAAACCAAGAUAUGCAAUUUGGAGCUCCCCAUUUUUUCUCUACUGUUGGGCAUUUAUCUGUGCAAUUUGGUGAAGUAGGAUGUGAAAAAUGGUAACAAGACAUGCUAUGGACACGAGGGAAUUCGUGUGUCGGUCUCCGUGUUUCUCAUUCUUUUGUUGUGAUUUUGGUUUUUAGUUUAUUGCUUCUUGCUAUUUGCAUUUCACAUAAGCUUUAUAUUUGGUUUCUAGAUUCUGCUGAAAGAACUUGGUAAUACGUUGCAAUUUUGAUUCCUUAUCUUGUAUCCAGAUUGGAAAUAUGUGUUGGUUAGGGGCAUUUAAGUGAGAUUACCUGAUCAUGAUAUUGUGGGGCUUUUAUUUGGGUGUUAGGUUUGGAGAAAGAUGUCAGGUUAAGGACAAAACAAAGUGUGUCAUGGACAAUGUGGGAGACAUGUUUGAAUCUGCGUUCUUCUAACUUUGGUUCUUAGUUCUAUUGCUUCUUGUUGAGAUAAAAGCGUCCUUAUCUGUAAUGUGCAUCUGAAUGGUAAAUUUGGUCUCUAGAUUAGGCAUAUACCAAUGACUGGUUUGGUAAUUAGGUCUGUUGAUUCUUGUUUGUAGUUUCGAUGAGCUCUUUUAGUUAUAUGGUUUAUAUGUGAACAAUGAACUUCUUUUCUAGAUUCUGCAGGGGCAUUUUGGGAUAUGGUUGGAAAAGGUUUGGUUCUCCUUCUUGUAUUCUGCUUUGGAUUAUUGAUUGCUUAGGUUGCAUUCAGUAUAUUGUUUACGAGUGAAACCACUCUGUUGAUCCUUGUUCUUUACUUCAAUGAGCUGUUUUAGGUGUAUGGUUUAUAUUUGAAUAAUGAACUUGUUUUCUAGAUUUUGAAGGGGAAUUUUGGGAUAUGUUCGGAAAGGUUUGGUUUUCCUUCUUGUAUUGUGCUUCAGAUUAUUUAUUGCUUGGGUAGCAUUCAGUAAUGAUGUGUGAAACCGCAUGGCCUAGUGAGAGUUGGUCCACUAGUGGAAUUUGUUACAGAGUCGGUAGCUUAGUUCUUGGUUUGCCAGAUGUUGCUUUGGCUGCACAGAUGGUGUGAUUGAGAUUGUAACAUAUUAGUUCUUUUCUGCUCUUUCUUGUUAGGACUGUUUCUCCUGUUGCUUAAAGUCGUGCUCUUCUUUUCUCAGAAGUAUGCCUCUUGGUGUUAACUGGUUGUGACCUCCUCCAGGAUUAGCCCCGUUUUGAUGUUUCCUCUUUUAAUCCAGAAGUAAACUAUCUUUUUCUUUUUUAGGUAACUGUAAGCAUGGAUGUGAUAUAUCUUGUUCUAUUCAUUAACAGGAAAAUUUGAGAUAUUUUGGUCAAGGAAGGUGGAAGGUUCAGUAGUUUGCUGGGUGUUGGAUGAUGUUUUAUAUGGUGUUAGGGUGCUUUUCUCAGUUUCUGCUACUGCUUCUUGUUGUCAAUACUUAUUGUUGUUGUUUGUGUUGUCACUAUUGAGGUUUGAAUUUUUCAAAUUCUUGUACCAGAGUCUUUGGGGCCUCUCUGAUGCACUUGAUAAUUCAUACUGGUGAUAUCAUCCAAGUGUUGUGAUACUUUUUUCCUCACUUCACCUUUGGUUAGGAGAUAGCUCUGUACUAGGCUUUGCAUGCUGUACAUUAUGUGCUAAUGUCAUAAGUGGUUUGUUGGACUUCUAAAAUUUGCUAUUUGUUGUGCAUCCGGUAGCAGGAUCUUUAGUGUACAUGGUUGAUUCAUUUGGAGUUUGUCGUAACUAUUUGCUUCCUGAAUGCAGGCAUCGGUUAGUUGAAUGUAGUUUAUAGUAGGCUUUGGCAAGCAAGCAAUUGUUUAUUAAGGACUUGUCAAAGCCGAAGACAAGCGAAGGGCAAGGUUGUCAGGCGCUUCCUUCUUUUCUAUUAUUCUGGUUAUUUGUUCUACCUGCGUUCUCCUCCUUGGCGCAUAGAAGUGCUUCUAGAUAUAUGCUUUGUAAUUGAAUGAUCGAUCUUCUUCAGAAUCAACCAGGAAUUUAUUGAAAUGUCGACGAAGUCCUAGAUUCUUAUAUUUUUUAAUUUGGAUCAUAGCUUGCUGUGUUGUAUAGUAGUUUAGUUCUGUUCUUUUUACUUGCUUGCAUUUGCCAGUCGCUUGUAGUCUAGUUUUCUGAGUGCAACUUUGGUGGCAUUAAUUGAUGCUGACUUUAGACUGAAGUAGCAUUGUUUCUCUUCCCUCUUUUUUUGGAACUGUAAGCAUAGAUGUGGUUUGUCUUCUCCCAUUGAUGUGGAGGUGUUGAGAAUUUGUAGUUUUCAUUGGUCAAGAUAGAUUCAUGGUGAUGUAGUUUGCUUAAUAUGUUUGGUUGGCAGGGUGCUUUCCUCAGAAUGCAGUAUCAGACAAAGUGUUUAAAUUGCCUUUUCUCUGAUAUGCACGCUAAGGGCAAUCACCCGAGUUUCGUGAUUGUCUCCAUACUUGCCCUCAGUUGCGACUUUGGUCAGCAGCAUGCUCUUUGUAAGGGUCAGAUUAUCGAGGUGAUGUAUGAAGGUUUUUUUAUUCACAUCUCCUGCUCAAAGCAAUAGGACUAAAUAGGGGAGGGUAGGAUAUGCAAUGGACAACACUGGAAGUGUGUGUCCUUUUUGUUUUUCCUCUUUAUAGUUUGGAUGCAAUUGUUAUUACUUGGACAUUCACAUAAAGUUUCGUAAACUCUUGUCAUUCUGGACUCUAUAGUUGAUGUGGAUAUAUGUCGACAAAGUAUCUGGUUCAUAUCUUGUACUCUGAUGGUGAUAUUGUAUUCUUUGGUUUACAAUUGUUGUUGCCUGGUGGCACUGAGCUGUCUGCCGAGACGAGAUUUGGUUUUGUAGCGUUUAUAUGGUUUUUGCUUGGUUUCAGUGGCUGCAAACAGUAGUGUUUGGCUUGGAUCAGAGUUUGAUCUGGGUCUUCGUCGUGCUAGUUACAUAAGGGCGAGCUGGGGUGCAUUUGGACAUACUCCGCUGCCACUCACCUCCAACUCCUCCUCCGCCUUUACCCUCCUCUACUUUCAUAUAUCUGAGGGCCCGUUAAGGAGACUGGUGGUUCCUGCGCCUGUAAAGCCUGUCCCACUAUCCACGCCACCGUCAUAGGGGGCUGCUGUGACGGACAAGAAUGUGAUUACGUUGGAGUUGCAGAGGCCUUCGGCUAAAGAGCUUCAAGAAUAUAUCAGACAGAGGAAGCUUGAGGAAGCUGAUCGAGGGCCCUUCUUUGGUUUCAUUGCCAAGAAUGAAGUCUGCUGUGGCAGGUACUAAGGAGCUAUUGUGAUGCCACCUUGUUUCCUGUGGUUUGUUUUGCUUGGGGAAGCUGUUACUUUCUUUAUUCCUAGUGCUUUUAUUUUCUUGAGUUGGACUGAAACGAAUAACAUGAUUGUAGUGAGUUCUAUAUCAAUUUACAGUUGUAAUGCCCAGUUUACUACAUAGGAAUUAGAUACUGGGCUUAAGUGGUUCUUGCAUGUAAUAGUUUGCCUUCUUGUUUGGAUGAUAAUUGGUUCUGCUGUGGGGACGUUAACUGAGUACGCAAGAGGCUUAGAUUUUUGUGGAUCAAGUUAGAAUCCUCCUCUCCAAUUUUAGAAUUGUAGAUCUUGGAUGAUCCAUUUCUUGAUGUUCCAGGUCUUCAAGAUAUGCGACUUGAGUUUAUCAACCGUCGAAUGGGUUUUUUAGUUUCUUGUGGUUGAACCAUUUCUACAUCAUGUGUUUAGCUCAACUCUACUGGACGUCCGAUGCUGUGGACACGUCUUCUUCAUAUACCAUAUACCGUGGGCAAAUUGAGUUGUAUAUUUUGGGAGACGUCUUGUAGCUGAUUUUCAUUGAAGUAGAAAUGCAAGGUACAAAUGUGCAGCAGCCAGCAGUUGUAUCGAUAUACCAAUGACAACGUUCUGGUAUGAUGAAAAUUGAUAAUUGGUAUCUUUUUGUGCUGCAGAACUUCAGUUCAUCCUUAAGAAGCCAACUCCCUGAUGGAACUACUUUUGUCUGCAGAAUUUUACUUAACUUCAAUACGGGUUCCCUAAAUACAUGAACUGACUGGUGUCUAGAAAUUACUUAUCCAGAAAUUUAAGGCGAGUGGACUCUACAUUAGUUGGCAAUAAUCAAAAUAUCUUUAAGCUUGGAGCCGGCCACAGUUCCCGAGCUUUUUGGUUGAGCUGGUCGUUCGCUGCUCUCUGCAUGGACGAAGCCUGCUUCCAAAAGAACAGAAGUCUGAAUCCGCAUUUUCGCUCUGCUUAGAUGGGGUUUGAAACUAUAACUAGCAUUGUUAAUGGAGAUGGAGUUCGGACACAUCCUGUGUGGGGAACUGGGGGGCCACCUAUUUGGUGAACUAACACGCAACCCAGACGCCAAUCCGGACUGGGAUUCAGUUGUUUAACAAAGAUGAUGAUGUUCAUCCAAGUCAAUAAAAAUACAAAAAUACAGUCCAAUUCUUGUGAUUAGGAGACAAAAUACACAAAAAAAAAAAAAAAAAAAGAAAAGGGAAGGACAUGGUCCCAUGAUAAUGUUCAGACGGAUCAAUUCAGCCAUGGGAGUUUACUGCGUCUUACGUUAUGUAAUAGUUAUGAACUUCACAAAUCCUCCCCGACUUAAAUGAAAUGGUGAAAAACUCGUCAUAAAAUUAAUAUACGUGCAACAGAUUGUCUGAAAGCUGAAUCUGUGGUGCACGUGCCGAUUAUGCUGGAUUUAUACCCUUUGGCACAAUGCCAUA
Molecule: non-coding RNA, 7092 nt
Organism: Sesamum indicum (sesame)
Lineage: Eukaryota; Viridiplantae; Streptophyta; Magnoliopsida; Lamiales; Pedaliaceae
Source: RefSeq, a predicted model, not a curated record